GGUCGGGCUGCUGGAAACUCUUUUGCUCAUUUGGCUUGUUCAACUCCUGCCUCGGCU
This 57-nucleotide transfer RNA is filed under the name Keratoisis flexibilis. RNAcentral describes it as "tRNA-Met". The record is from RNAcentral. Lineage: Eukaryota; Metazoa; Cnidaria; Anthozoa; Scleralcyonacea; Keratoisididae.